AGCCAAAAGAAGAAGUAGUGAGUAUGAGGAAAUUAUUUUGAUGAAGAAAUAAAUAGGUGCAGUGAAAGUCUGUCCAGCAUGAAUCACAUGAUACACGUGUCGGUUUUUUCAAUGUUAAUUCCUAUUUUUGAAGCGUCAAACAAACAGUAUAUAAGCACUGAUCUUACUGCUGUUUAGCACCUUCUCACUGGAAGGCUGAAGCUAUCGGUCGGUGCUGAAAUGAAAUCUACUCUACAAAUAUUCUACAUAUUCUCCAGAAGGUCUGCAACAAAAUCUGUUCUAUCCUAUUUUUUAAUGAUGUCUUGAUGUCUUCUGUUUUUCACAGAGAUAUUAAAGAUCACCAUGAGGCUGCUGACCGUGUUUGUGUUUCUUUGUGUAAUGAUCCCUCUGAUCAUUACUGCUCAAAAAUCGGGCAGCAGUGGGGCAGAGAAUAAUCCACAAGAAGAGCAAGCUGUUGACAAGAGGAUCCUGUGGUAUUGGCGCAAAACUUAUCGUUGCGUUAAAUGGCGAUGGGUAUGGAGAAAGCGAUGGGGGAAAGACGUGAACGAAUAAUAUAUAUACGCUCACCACUGAUACCGAUUUUGUCUGGCUCUGAAAAAGAAGAUGAUUCCUGGUCUUCCAUGAAAAUGGUCCAUCAGACAGAGAAGCAAAUACUUUCAUCCAACUCCCUGAACUAUCAGUUUCCCCUUUUACAUCUUUACUUAUUUUCUUUCGCUGUAUUGCUGCAUAAAGAAUGAAGCAACAAGUGACACAAACUGGAGUCGACCGGACUGUCUCUUUUAAUAACAAAAACUAUUCAUUUCUGUUCUUAUUAUCUUCAUCAUUAAACUCUUAAGCAUUAAAUGAAAUUGGUCUCUGAGUCUUUGUCACAUGUCACCUUUUUUAUUGGUCUAAACCCAAACACCAAAUUUGUUUUUCAUCUAUCUUCGUUUUAAAAUACCUAAAUAGAAAAUAACAAGUCUGACCUGCUAAUAUCUGACUGAGCUCAAAGCAUUUACUAAGAUCCUAAACAAUAAC
Oreochromis aureus is the source of this 1017-nucleotide long non-coding RNA. Lineage: Eukaryota; Metazoa; Chordata; Actinopteri; Cichliformes; Cichlidae. The record is from Ensembl.